RNAcentral lists this ribosomal RNA (498 nucleotides) under uncultured bacterium. RNAcentral describes it as "partial 16S ribosomal RNA". It matches the Rfam family "Bacterial small subunit ribosomal RNA", at positions 28 to 523 of the family's 1533-position model. The record is from RNAcentral.
GAUGAACGCUGGCGGCAUGCCUUACACAUGCAAGUCGAACGGUAACAGGUCUUCGGAUGCUGACGAGUGGCGAACGGGUGAGUAAUACAUCGGAACGUGCCUAGUAGUGGGGGAUAACUACUCGAAAGAGUGGCUAAUACCGCAUGAGAUCUACGGAUGAAAGCAGGGGAUCGCAAGACCUUGUGCUACUAGAGCGGCCGAUGGCGGAUUAGGUAGUUGGUGGGAUAAAGGCUUACCAAGCCGACGAUCUGUAGCUGGUCUGAGCGGACGAUCAGCCACACUGGGACUGCGAGACGGCCCAGACUCCUACGGGAGGCAGCAGUGGGGAAUUUUGGACAAUGGGCGAGAGCCUGAUCCAGCAAUGCCGCGUGCAGGAUGAAGGCCUUCGGGUUGUAAACUGCUUUUGUACGGAACGAAAAGCUCUGGGUUAAUACCCUGGGGUCAUGACGGUACCGUAAGAAUAAGCACCGGCUAACUACGUGCCAGCAGCCGCAGUAA